AUUGAACGCUGGCGGCAGGCCUAACACAUGCAAGUCGAGCGGAUGAAGGGAGCUUGCUCCUGGAUUCAGCGGCGGACGGGUGAGUAAUUCCUAGGAAUCUUCCUGGUAGUGGGGGAUAACGUCCGGAAACGGGCGCUAAUACCGCAUACGUCCUGAGGGAGAAAGUGGGGGAUCUUCGGACCUCACGCUAUCAGAUGAGCCUAGGUCGGAUUAGCUAGUUGGCGGGGUAAAGGCCUACCAAGGCGACGAUCCGUAACUGGUCUGAGAGGAUGAUCAGUCACACUGGAACUGAGACACGGUCCAGACUCCUACGGGAGGCAGCAGUGGGGAAUAUUGGACAAUGGGCGAAAGCCUGAUCCAGCCAUGCCGCGUGUGUGAAGAAGGUCUUCGGAUUGUAAAGCACUUUAAGUUGGGAGGAAGGGCAGUAAGUUAAUACCUUGCUGUUUUGACGUUACCAACAGAAUAAGCACCGGCUAACUUCGUG
Molecule: ribosomal RNA, 484 nt
Filed under: uncultured bacterium
Lineage: Bacteria
Description: partial 16S ribosomal RNA
Rfam family: Bacterial small subunit ribosomal RNA
Source: RNAcentral